GGUUGGUCCGAGUGCAGUGGUGUUAAUCACUAAUUGAUCACAACAGUUACAGAUUCUCUUGUUCCUUCUCCCUCCCACUGCUCCACUUGACAAGCCUUAA
Molecule: Y RNA, 100 nt
Filed under: Microcebus murinus (gray mouse lemur)
Lineage: Eukaryota; Metazoa; Chordata; Mammalia; Primates; Cheirogaleidae
Description: Y RNA (ENSMICG00000044823.1)
Rfam family: Y RNA
About the family: Y RNAs are components of the Ro ribonucleoprotein particle (Ro RNP), in association with Ro60 and La proteins.
Source: Rfam by way of RNAcentral